This 2721-nucleotide small RNA is filed under the name Histoplasma capsulatum var. duboisii H88. RNAcentral describes it as "Histoplasma capsulatum H88 hypothetical RNA". Lineage: Eukaryota; Fungi; Ascomycota; Eurotiomycetes; Onygenales; Ajellomycetaceae. The record is from RNAcentral.
GCAGACAGGCAUACUCUGAGCCUCUCUCUACUUUCAACUUAUCUUCUCUGAUCUUCUUGUGCUCAGUACUUCUCGUCACCUCUGUUCUAUCUGCUUCUUCUCUUUGCGUUUCCCAUGUCCAUUACUUACUCUUUCUUAUCUUUAUCGCUCAGCACUCGCUUCACACUGGAUAUUGCCAAUGUUCUUGAUAUAUGAAGCAGUCAGCCCCCUCUCGAUUCUGAGGUUUUAAUAUAAAUAUAAAUUACAACCAUUUUCUCUUCGACCCCCCAAAUUAUAUCUGUGUAUUAUUCCGUACACCCACCUACACCGACUCCAUCUCUCUAUCUCCAUCAUCUCCAUCAUCUCCCCGCCAUCUCGGCCGAUUCUCCGCUCCCGCAAGAUUCCCGGAAAACGCGUUGCCGGGCAGCCAACCUGGCGCCACCAAGCUUCCCGCGGGAAACCACCCAACCCACCCACGGCUUCCCCGGCCCGGUCUGGGCCCCGGCUAUUGCAGGGAACCGUACGGUACGGUUCCGGCUACUGCUGGUGCUGGUAACAUCGUGCCCAACAACCGUCAGGAGGUUCCUCUCCUCCAACAGGAACAGGACCAGGUACAGGUACAUCCACAGAUACCAGCAACGCUCUGAUGCCGUGGUUCCGCGCCGGGAUCCCGUUGCGGCGGAUCGGGAAACUCGGCGCCGGAGAGGGCUUUUGGGGGACGUUAAAUACCGGCGACAUUCCCGCGAAGGAGCCAGGGACGGUGCAGGCAGGCUGGAGAGAGGGAGACAACACACGCCCUUUGACAUCGCAGCGGGCAUUAGGGACCAGGGGGGAUAGAUAUAUAGAUACCUAGAUAUCUAUCUGCAUAUAUACCCCUCUAUAUCUCACUCUAAAUCAGCCAUACUCCCCACUUGAAGAUACGUCAGUCGAAGAUACUUCCUUGUCGACCGUCCUUGAAUCUACAUACAUACCACUCCGCAGGAUGGGCAGCUACGGCGAGCCGCUGCUCGAGGAGAUGCACUCCCCGCCGUGGGAUCCCAAGUCGCCGCCGAAGCCAUGGACGGAGACGCCGCUGAUUGAGUCGGAGCCGCUGUCGAGGCUGGCUGGAUGCCGCAUAUUCCUCAAACUCGAGAACCUGCAGCCGGGCGGCUCUUUCAAGUCACGCGCCAUGGGCAACCUGAUCCUCCACCACCUCUCCCGCCCUGCCAACCACAACAAAAACCUCCACUUCUUCAUCCCCUCCGGCGGCAACGCCGGCAUCGCCGCCGUCACCGCCGCCCGCGCCCUCGGCUACCCCUGCACCGUCGUCGUGCCCACCUACACCUCGCCCAUGAUGCUGCAGCGCCUGCAGGCCGCCGGUGCCAUCACCGUCCCGCACGGCGCCAACAUCGACGUCGCCGCCGCCCACAUGCGCGACGUGCUCAUGGCCCAGAUGCAGGGCGCCGUCGGCCCGGACGGCCGUGAGCUCGUCGCCGUCGAGCUGCACCCCUUCGACCACGAGGCUAUCUGGGAGGGCGUCAGCUCCAUGGUCGACGAGCUGGCCGCACAGCUGCCCCCGGAUGCGAGCGGGCGCGCUUUCGCGGCCGACGCCGUCGUGUGCAGCGUCGGCGGCGGCGGGCUGAUGAACGGUAUCAUGCUUGGGAUCGAGCGGCUGUUGCGUGGUGGUAGUGGUGCUGGUGCUGGUGCUGGUGGUGCUGGUGACGGCGGGGGAAGCCGCGACGUGCAGAUCCUCGCGCUGGAGACGCGGGGCGCGGAGUCGCUUGCGAAGGCGGUCGAGAAGCGCGCGCUGGUGUCAUUGCCCGGCGUGUCGUCGCUGGCCACGUCGCUGGCCGCCAUGCGCGUGGCGGAGCGCACGCUGCGCAAUGUCCUCUUCCCCCCCGCGGGCAUGAGGGUGCAUAACUUUGUGAUGGACGAUGCGGAGGCGGCGAGGGGCGUGUUGCGCCUGGUCGAUGAGCAUCGCUUGCUGGUUGAGCUUGCCUGUGGGGUUUGUGUGGAGGGGGUGGUGGCGGGUGCAAAGCCCGGGGGGGAGGCGAAUGGCCAUGCCGAUGGCCAUGUGAAUGGGGGGCCUGUGGGCGGCGGUGGCUGUGGUGGUGGUGCGCUGCCGUCGAGACUUGCGCAGUUCAUCCCGGACUUCGGGCCGGAGACCCGUGUGGUUGUCGUUGUUUGUGGCGGGAGCAAUAUUACCCUUGAAGUGGCUGCGGAAUAUCGAGAGCGGCUUAAUACCGGCUGGGGCGCUGAGAGCGGAUGAAGGGUUUCUUUCUUACUUUCUUUGUGCGUUUUUCAUAUAAGGUAUUGUGUCUUGCGGGACUGGGUGUUGGGAGUAAGUUAGACAUGGGCGUAUUUCUCUCUUUCUUUUCUUUUCUUUUCUUUUCUCAUUCAAAGACGUAAUGUAAUGCACCUUUCUUGCGUGGGAUGUCCCAAAACAGAAAAUAAAAAAGGAUGAUAAAAAAGAUGUUAUGGCAUUUGAUGUUAAUAAAACAAAACAGUACAUUUCAUUAUUUUUCAUGUUCAUGACUUCCUUUUCAUAAAGUUAUCAUUCUUGCUCGCAUACCGUAGUGUCAUCUCUUACUCUGAGCAACUUGAUUCCAAAAAAGAAACAAAAAAAACAACCAACAACAACAAGCCCUUCCGGACACAUGCUGAGCCCCUGACUGGUUUUUCGCAUAUCGAAGCAAACCUCUUAGGCCACCGCAACGGACUCCCCAUCAAGCAUCCGAAGGCGAUAAGCCCAGUAAUUACUGC